AUACGUAGGUGGCGAGCGUUGUCCGGAAUUACUGGGUGUAAAGGGAGCGCAGGCGGGAAUGCAAGGUGGAUGUGAAAUACCGAGGCUUCACCUCGGGGCUGCAUCCCAAACUGUAUUUCUUGAGUGCAGUAGAGGUAGGAGGAAUUCCGAGAGUAGCGGUGGAAUGCGUAGAUAUUCGGAGGAACAACAGUGGCGAAGGGGGGCUACGGGGGUUUAAAUGAAGGUGAGGCUCGAAAGUGUUGGGAGCGAACAGGAUUAGAUACCCUGGUAGUCCCCACUGUAAACGAUGAUUUAUAGGUGUGGGGGGUCUGACCCCUUCUGUGCCGUAGUUAACGCAAUAAGUAAUCCACCUGGGGAGUACGAUCGCAAGGUUGAAACUCAAAGGAAUUGACGG
This 394-nucleotide ribosomal RNA is filed under the name uncultured bacterium. RNAcentral describes it as "partial 16S ribosomal RNA". It matches the Rfam family "Bacterial small subunit ribosomal RNA", at positions 523 to 916 of the family's 1533-position model. The record is from RNAcentral.